CCAGACUCCUACGGGAGGCAGCAGUGAGGAAUAUUGGUCAAUGGGCGCGAGCCUGAACCAGCCAAGUCGCGUGAGGGAUGACGGCCCUACGGGUUGUAAACCUCUUUUGCCGGGGAGCAACGGGCGCCACGUGUGGCGCCACUGAGAGUACCCGGAGAAAAAGCAUCGGCUAACUCCGUGCCAGCAGCCGCGGUAAUACGGAGGAUGCGAGCGUUAUCCGGAUUUAUUGGGUUUAAAGGGUGCGCAGGCGGAGGUGCAAGUCAGCGGUCAAAUUGCGGGGCUCAACCCCGUACUGCUGUUGAAACUGCAUCCCUUGAGUGCGCGAGAAGUAUGCGGAAUGCGUGGUGUAGCGGUGAAAUGCAUAGAUAUCGCGCAGAACUCCGAUUGCGAAGGCAGCAUGCCGGCUCCACACUGACGCUGAGGCACGAAAGCGUGGGUAUCGAACAGGAUUAGAUACCCGCGUAG
Molecule: ribosomal RNA, 465 nt
Filed under: uncultured bacterium
Lineage: Bacteria
Description: bacterial SSU rRNA
Rfam family: Bacterial small subunit ribosomal RNA
Source: RNAcentral